GAGAUAGCUCAUUCGGUAGAGCAUGAGACUCUUAAUCUCCAGCUCAUGGGUUCGAGUCCCAGGUUGGGCA
Molecule: non-coding RNA, 70 nt
Organism: Podarcis lilfordi (Lilford's wall lizard)
Lineage: Eukaryota; Metazoa; Chordata; Lepidosauria; Squamata; Lacertidae
Source: the annotation of a GenBank genome assembly